AUUGAACGCUGGCGGCAGGCCUAACACAUGCAAGUCGAGCGGAAGAAGGGUGCUUGCUUGUGGUUUCAGCGGCGGACGGGCGGGUAAUGCAUAGGAAUCUCCCUGUCAGCGGGGGCGAACGGCCGGAAACGGGCGCUAAUACCGCAUAAGCCCAGAGGGCGAACGUGGGGAAUCAUCGGACCUUACGCCCUCAGAUGAGCCUAGGACGGGUUAGCUAGUUGGCGGGGUAAAGGCGUACCAAGGCGACGAUCCGUAGCUGGUCUGAGAGGAUGAUCAGCCACACUGGAACUGAGACACGGUCCAGACUCCUACGGGAGGCAGCAGUGGGGAAUAUUGGACAAUGGGCGAAAGCCUGAUCCAGCCAUGCCGCGUGUGUGAAGAAGGUCUUCGGAUUGUAAAGCACUUUUAUUGGGGAAGAAGAGCAGUAAGUUAAUACCUUGCUGUUUUGACGUUACCAACAGAAUAAGCACCGGCUAACUUCGUG
RNAcentral lists this ribosomal RNA (484 nucleotides) under uncultured bacterium. RNAcentral's name for it is "partial 16S ribosomal RNA". It matches the Rfam family "Bacterial small subunit ribosomal RNA", at positions 30 to 507 of the family's 1533-position model. The record is from RNAcentral.